RNAcentral lists this long non-coding RNA (206 nucleotides) under Setaria italica (foxtail millet). RNAcentral describes it as "long non-coding RNA (SITA_LNC005490)". Lineage: Eukaryota; Viridiplantae; Streptophyta; Magnoliopsida; Poales; Poaceae. The record is from RNAcentral.
AAAAGAGAGAAAUUCUAGAAAUUCUCAUAAAAAAGCAAAACAUCCGACCAUCAAUCGAUAGAUUGAAAUCAUCAUAGCCUUUGGAUCUAUUAUGUUUUCUAAACAAUUACCCACCUAUGCCAUUACGUAAAUAGCCUAAAGUAACCCCCUAAAUCUACAUAUAAAUUACCCACCUCUGCCAUUAUAUAAAAUAAACUAAAGUAACC